UACGUAGGGUGCGAGCGUUGUCCGGAAUUAUUGGGCGUAAAGGGCUCGUAGGCGGUUUGUCGCGUCGGGAGUGAAAACCUCGGGCUUAACUCGGGGCUUGCUUUCGAUACGGGCAGACUGGAGGUAUGCAGGGGAGAACGGAAUUCCUGGUGUAGCGGUGAAAUGCGCAGAUAUCAGGAGGAACACCGGUGGCGAAGGCGGUUCUCUGGGCAUUACCUGACGCUCAGGCACGAAAGCGUGGGGAGCAAACAGG
This 253-nucleotide ribosomal RNA is filed under the name uncultured bacterium. RNAcentral describes it as "partial 16S ribosomal RNA". It matches the Rfam family "Bacterial small subunit ribosomal RNA", at positions 524 to 776 of the family's 1533-position model. The record is from RNAcentral.